AGAAAUCAAAUUCAAUCCAGACUUUAAGACAUUUUUAAUGGAAAACUCAAGUUAGGAUAUUUUUCUCCAUCUCAUUCUUGCAGUUGGACCUGCUUAAAAUGAGCAAAGUUGUGAACGAAUAGCCCAUAAUGUACUGGAACUACAUCUUAACAAAGCCAAUUCAAUUCAAAUAUAGUUUAUUAUUAUUAUUAUUAUUGAUAUUAAUAGUAUCAUUAAAAAUGAUAAAUUGAAAUUAUGCUAAAUAAAUAUUGCCAUUUAUGUGAAAUGUACAUUUCAUGGAAAAAUUGCAAAAUGGAAAUAUUAUUUUUCACAAUGAAAAAACUGAAAUGAAAGCAGCUGAUAAUCAUAUGAAAUUAAGAAAUUUACAACUAGAAAAAUUGUCAGUUUCAGUUCAAAAGGAAUUUGAAAUUUUACAAGAGAAAGAAG
Molecule: long non-coding RNA, 426 nt
Organism: Centruroides sculpturatus (bark scorpion)
Lineage: Eukaryota; Metazoa; Arthropoda; Arachnida; Scorpiones; Buthidae
Exons: 2
Source: RefSeq, a predicted model, not a curated record